UGAUCUUCAUCUACACCAAAAGAUAAAGUCAAAAAUACAAACGACUAAACAAAUGAUUCUGGACAGAAGGGUGUCACUUUUAAUUUGAAAUUCCCAAUCCCCAACAAACAUUGAAAACCGCUGAAAUCCGAGUCCCAUAAAUCGCCGUCCCGGGUCAGAGCUGGUACGGAAACCCGCUAUGAUACCAAAUUGUAACACCCGUCUCCUCCUCUCUCGAGAACGGCGUGUUACUAACCGAAAAAUACCAAAUUAAACCGAUUUAUAAAACCAAAUAAAAUAUCAAACCUUUUAAUCAAAUAAUUUUCAAACAAAAAGAGUUUAUAAUUUAAAACCAAAUACAUUAAAUCGAAAAGUUAAUUAAAACCAAAAUAAAAUACAAUGAUCCCAAGAUACCAAACCGUCCAGAUAUCCAACUACUCGGCAAGCUCACCUGCAAUGGGAAGAAAGAGAGAUGAGCAACAGGGGAGUCACCCAGUGAGGUAUGGGAUGCUAAACCGCAAACCACUGACUCAGUACAUAGCACUACGACUAUGUAAGCAUAGCUCUAGCAUGAAACAAACACGGUGUCUAAUACACCACAUAAAACAUCAAAUGCGCUGAUAGUGCAUAACUAGAUCAUACACCCCGCAUUCUCCUCAUACGGAUAUAAAUAUACAACUCUAUGCGCCGCUAGUACAAGAGUCCGUCCUUGUAUCCCGCAAUCACCUAUGCGCCGCUAGUACAAACGUCUUUGUAACCCGCAAUCCUCAUACAAUGCGCCGCUAGCAUAGACGUCCAUAUGCCCUGCAAUCUCCAUACAAUGCGCCGCUAACACAAUUGUCUCUGUGUCCCGCAAUCUC
RNAcentral lists this long non-coding RNA (839 nucleotides) under Brassica napus (rape). Its description in RNAcentral is "long non-coding RNA (BNAP_LNC013978)". The record is from RNAcentral. Lineage: Eukaryota; Viridiplantae; Streptophyta; Magnoliopsida; Brassicales; Brassicaceae.